This 372-nucleotide long non-coding RNA is filed under the name Gossypium barbadense (sea-island cotton). RNAcentral describes it as "long non-coding RNA (GBAR_LNC019210)". The record is from RNAcentral. Lineage: Eukaryota; Viridiplantae; Streptophyta; Magnoliopsida; Malvales; Malvaceae.
CCUGCUAUUCCAGAUGUUCCAUAAAACCGUAAUCAAAUCGGAUAAAGCCUUCUUGUCUAACACACGGGCAGCAUCCUCAACCUAGUCCACACACCGAUUAUAGCAGCCCUCGAGAAGCUUAUGAUUCAAACCACCAUAUUCCAGCACCGCCCUAUCCCUGGGACAAUCUUUCAACGCAUGAAUGAGAGUCUCCUUUUCCCUACCACAUCUCGGACAUAAGCUAUUGAACUCCCUCCGGAUACACGAAAUUUUCUCGUACGUAGGGAGAAUGUCGUGCCCUAAAUGCCAGCAAAAAAUUUUGAUCUUCGGCAGAGUGUGCAACUUCCACGUAAGCUUCCAGAAAAUACGAUGGGGGCCAAAACCCACAUGCUU